RNAcentral lists this long non-coding RNA (2929 nucleotides) under Canis lupus dingo (dingo). RNAcentral's name for it is "lncRNA (ENSCAFG00020008181.1)". The record is from RNAcentral. Lineage: Eukaryota; Metazoa; Chordata; Mammalia; Carnivora; Canidae.
AUGACGGGCCUUGAGAUCUUGCUCCAAAUCCUUCACUUGCUGAUGAGGAAGCUGAGGCCAAGGGAGGGGAACUGGUGUGCUCAGGGUCAUAGAACAACUGGUGGCGAUGCUGAGACAAAGUCCCAGGACUCCCACCCGGAGCUUUUCUCCUGUUCUUCAUGUCCCCGAGAGAGCAGGAGACCCGUGCCCUCUACUGGAGGCUGGCAGAGGACGUGCAGUUUGAGCGCUUUGGAGCAUGACCUACUUUCUGGGCUUUUCCAGACUUCCCUGAGGAGGCCAAGGCCACCUGGCAUGUCCUGUUCAGGCCUCACUUUGGUGACAUGGGUGGGAACCCGAUCUGCUCAGCAAACCAUCUGUUACCUGAGCUCCCGGGCAAGAUGUCCCACAGAACCCUUUGUCCAGUGCCGCAGCCCCACCACUCUGCUCAGCAGUGCUCCCUGCCACCAUCUGCAGCCCGCAAAGCUGGGCCUGGGCUCCCUCACGGUAUGCCCAGCAUCUAGCACAGUGCCAGGUGGGCAAGAUGCACUGUCAUACACGUGGACCAGACUGUGAACCUGAGCUGUUUUUAAAGGGACCUAGAGGGGCCAGGUGCGGAGAGCGUGCAAUGACAUUUGAACACCGUGGAGACUGAGUCCCUUACCCACCAUGGCUCCGAGCACCAAUCAUGCCUGUGUGCCAGCACCAGCGCUGAGGGGGAGGCAGAUACACCCGACUCCCAGUUCUCCAUGGUGACGAGGGCCUUGACGGUUGGCAACAGCAGAUGAUCUCCAACACGCUUCACACGCUUUGAGUCACUGGCUUCCGCCGCCCCCCACCAUCACUUUGCUGGUGUGGCUGACAAACUGCCACAGGGAUUCACAUCUCUCUUCUCUCUUCACCCAGCGGAGCUGCUCUGAAAUGGCCAAGGCUGGGCCGGUGGAGGAGGAGCAGAGGGCGAACGUAGCCCCCUCCCCGCGGAGCUGGGUCCUAUACCCCUGGGGUAGUCUGACUUGGCUUUCUGCAAGCCCCUUUAGGGGGUGGAAGAGGGGAAGGUGUGGCCUCCCCUGGCAGGACCCCCAGACCCCAGGGGCACAAGUUGCCUCCCGGUGCCCACAGGGCCUCCCCUCAUGACACAGACUCCAUGCAAACCAGCAGCGGGCCUGCCCCACCCCCUCUCCUCAGCCACGCCUUAACCAAACUUGAUGGUGCUCAUUGAGGUCAGAGCUUCUGCACUGAACUGGGCAACAGAGGCCCCCUCACUUCCCCAUGCUCCCCUCCCCUCCCCCUGCUAAACUCCUUCCCAGAAGAGGGAUGGAAAGCAGGAGAGAGAGAAGCGAAUGUAUGUUGAGGACCUACUACCUGCUGUCCACUGCCUUGAGGAGACCACAGCUUUCCAGGUAGAGCUGAGCCAGGCUUCCAUAGCAGGACUGGCUGCUUGCUUGUCUCUGGAGGUCUCUUCUGGGAAAUGGCUGCCUUGGCGCCAACAAUGCACACCUCAGUCUCCCGCAGUCCAAACCCUGGGGGGUCAGGUCUCUGCAGAUCUCUCAUGAAUGUGUCCUCUACAAUGGAAGUUCCAUCAGCCAAGAUUGGGGUUCUGAGUGCCCUUGGCCCCCUAAACAUUCUUUGCUGGGCAUGGAGGAGCUGGCAGUGUUGGGAGCCUUGGUCAGGAAAUGCAGAAGGGCCCCACUGACAGGGUCAGAGUGCAGGUUUGGAAGCCUCCGGUCUCGGGGUUGCCGGGCAGGGGCUCAUCCCAUCUCCCUUCCUUCCCGUCUUGCCUCCUGACCGGUUCAGAAGUGUCUCUACUGGAAGUGGAUGCCAGAAGGAGGUCCAAAGCCACUGGAGGAUGAGCCCUCAAGGGCUCCCCAGGAGUAUCCCUGACGGCCACAGGGGAAGUUGUGUGACUUCAUGUAAAUCUGCUCCGGAUGCAACUUCAGAAGCAAGCAGAGGAGGCAAGCUUUCCUUGUGGGACAUCCCCCAGGUACAAUAAUGGCAUAGUGUUGGCACAUAGUCUUUCUGGGAUGGAUGGCCUUGUUGCACUCCCAUCCUGGAACUCAACUUUCACACUUGGCCAACAUGAGGGGCCCAGGCCUUCGGAGUCUGAGGCUCAGCUGUUGAAUCUCGGGCAAGGCCACGGGCCUCCAUGCGCCCCAGUUUCUCUUCAUAAAAUGGGGGCUCCGGAACAUGCCACCCAGAGCCCUCAGGAUCCCCGUGAAGUGGUGGCAUGAUGCUGGGUGAAUGGCUGCAGGUCUGAUUCUGAGCUGUAUGGUCUGGGUCUGGUACCAGGGCAGCGGAGGAAGUGUUCCUUUCUCCGUAUCCAGUGACAGGCAGCCUGGAAAUUCAGAGUAAAAAUGUCCUCUCUUCCCUUGACCCUCCAGGGUCUCCUGGGCUGGUGAGUGGGAAGAGAGGGUGCCCUGGGUGGAGGGCAGGACCAGGCCUGGAAGGCCCCUAGGCCUCACCUUCACUGAGGUCCCAGCCUCCCCCCCCCGCCCUGGGGCUGCACUGGUGGGCGCUUUCCCGGCCAGAGCACCCCUUGCUGAAUUUGGCCAUGUGCCAGGGGCCUGGCUGUGGCUCUGCGCAAACAGCAGGCUGGGGUGGCUGGGGUCCUCCUGUCCAGCAUGGCAGGCCCCGCGCUCUGGGGCCCAACACUGGCCAUAGGCAUUGUCCUGGAGUGGCCUCACGGUCCAGGAUGAGCAGUAAUUUGCGGGUUUUCUGAGCGUGGGCUAGAGCUGUGCUUGUUAUAAAGUGCUGGAGUGAGUUAGUCUAGUGCGUGAGCCUCACAGCUGCCCUGUGGCACGCUCGUCGUGGUCUUUGCGGCCCCUCUUUCCAAGGUGAGCCCUGGAAUAGCCCUUACACAGUCCGGAGAAGAAACAAACAAGCAAAACUUCUGUUUUGCUUCCCUGUAUCUAAUGGCAGAAAUAAAAACACAGGAGAAAUAAAUGUGGGGAUUUGG